GCCUACGGGGGGCAGCAGUGGGGAAUAUUGCACAAUGGGGGAAAGCCUGACGCAGCGACGCCGCGUGAGGGAUGAAGGUCUUCGAAUCGUAAACCUCUGUCAGCAGGGAAGAACGGUCACUGUGCUAAUCAGCAGUGAAUUGACGGUACCUGCAAAGGAAGCACCGGCUAACUCCGUGCCAGCAGCCGCGGUAAUACGGAGGGUGCGAGCGUUAAUCGGAAUUACUGGGCGUAAAGCGCUCGUAGGCGGUAUGUCAAGUCAAGGGUGAAAUCCCCGCGCUCAACGUGGGAACUGCCUUUGAAACU
Molecule: ribosomal RNA, 305 nt
Filed under: uncultured bacterium
Lineage: Bacteria
Description: bacterial SSU rRNA
Rfam family: Bacterial small subunit ribosomal RNA
Source: RNAcentral